GCUUUCUCAUGCUUGUGUGCCAACAAGGAGCAGUGUAAUUCUGUUCAUCCGUAUAUUGUAUUUAUUCCGAUUGUUUCCUAUAUAAUUUUGCGUAACAUCCCAGGCUGGUUACGCACAAGAUACAGCAGCUUCUUCGCCUGGUUUGGCAAAAUUUCAUUGGAACUGUUUAUCAGCCAGUACCACGUGUGGCUGGCUGCGGAUACGUACGGCGUGCUGGUGUUGAUCCCCAACUACCCUGUCCUCAACGUUAUCCUGACCUCCUUCAUCUUCAUCUGCCUCAGCCACGAGAUCCACAAAGUGACCACCAUCCUCACCAAGUACGCUGUCCCCAACGAGUGGAAGCUCCUACUGCGCAACUUCGUCUUCUUUGUGGCACUUCUAGUUCCAAUCUGCAUCACCAACGGCUUAGUUUUCUAGUUUGUGGCACUUCUAGUUCCUAUCUGCAUCACCAACGGCUUAGUUUUCUAGUUUGUGGCACUUCUAGUUCCAAUCUGCAUCACCAACGGCUUAGUUUUCUAGUUUGUGGCACUUCUAGUUCCAAUCUGCAUCACCAACGGCUUAGUUUUCUAGUUUGUGGCACUUCUAGUUCCAAUCUGCAUCACCAACGGCUUAGUUUUCUAGUUUGUGGCACUUCUAGUUCCAAUCUGCAUCACCAACGGCUUAGUUUUCUAGUUUGUGGCACUUCUAGUUCCAAUCUGCAUUACCAACGGCUUAGUUUAUCUUUUUAUAAUACAUCUCGAACAGAAGAAAAAACGAAAAUUGUGUGUCGAUAAUUCCAGUUUGGUUUGAUUUAAAAAGAGGAAAUUUGUUUUGAAAACAAAGAAAAUGUGCUAUUUUUAUGUGCAGUUUGUUAAAACAGUGGGCAUGAUAAAAAUAAAUACAUAUAGAAUACCAUACAAGUUUUCACUACAUAAUUUGUUUACAAAACGGGUUAACGGGUUUCGUAAAAGAAAAUGUUUUGAUGGACAGGGGAUAGAAACUCAUGCUUUCGCAAAAGUGUAAACAACCGUUAAUACCACUUGUAAGUUUAUGCGGUAACUUGAACUUGUACAUUAAGAAAAAACCCCAGAACAUUUUUGUUUAUUCCAAAACAUGUUUCCUAACUGGAAAUAUUGACACAAAGCACUUAAAAUGUUUGAUGGUACAAGGUAUAGAAGAGGUUAUUAACAUUACCAUAGUGUACUUUUUGAUGCCAUGUUUUUCUGUUUAACAUUCAUAUUUUUGAGUUUAGUCCUAGAUCAACAAAACUUGAUUUAUAGUUGCAUCUCAAUCCAAGUUAAAAGGAAUGUUUUUUUUUUUUUUUUUUUUUUUUCUUUUUUUUGAGAACUAAAUUAAUCAUGAAUUUGACAUCACAAUUUUUUUCUUUUCUAAAAUUAAUUACAAAUUGUGAUAAACAUGUAUGGAUGAGACUAUGAGCAACACCAAAUCUAUUUAUGGUAGGCAGUGGUGCAGACAUGGAAAAUAUUCAACUAGCCCAACCAGAACCAACUAGAAUUUACUAGCCCACCAGAAUUUCUACUAGUCUGCCAGUCUAUAGAACAAUAAAUUAUUAUUAUAUUGACAAAACAUUAUUAAGAACACUCACCAUGCAAGACAGAUGUAUUCUGUAUGGGUUGACGUCAUGGAAUGGGUCUGUCUUGCA
RNAcentral lists this long non-coding RNA (1642 nucleotides) under Gigantopelta aegis. Its description in RNAcentral is "uncharacterized LOC121387695". The record is from RNAcentral. Lineage: Eukaryota; Metazoa; Mollusca; Gastropoda; Neomphalida; Peltospiridae.